UUUCCAACCCAAGAUUCUGGAACACAUCUCCCAUUAUGAAGUGGGCCUGAAGGUGGGAGUGGAAACAGCCCCCUAGUCACACUCCCCACCCUCACCUUCCAGCAGUGAGGGUAGGACGUUUUCAUGACACCAAGGAUUCAAGCAAUGGGGUAAUGGAGAUCUUGGACAUUUAUUUCCUCACUGGUGAAAAUUAAAUGAAGACUCAGGAGUCACCCCAACUAUAGUGAUGAGAAGGAAGUUUCAGCAGGCAGUGUUGGAAAACAAAGUGCUUUAAUAAAGUAUAAGAUAUCCUGGUGUCAUUUCCUCAAGAAGAAAAAACUCUAGGAAGCUAAAGAGAAGACAGAGAAGAAUCUCAAUUGGUGACAAUUUUUUUCAACCUCAUUUACACCUCAAUUUUGAGACACGUAUAAUAUUUAGGAAUUAGAAGGGUUACAAGACAGAUGGUUGACACUUCUUAAGUUGUUUGUUUAGAAGUAUUGGUUGUCCAUGGAAUCCAGCUAAAAGACUGUAUCAGUUACCAAAACAUCCCUGAAAGCCAACUGCUUUCAGAAAGACCUCUAUGACUAGCACAAGAUGGUGCCACUAGCAUAUUAUGAUCAACACUUCGUGCCAUUAGAACACUCUUACCAACUGGCUGCAACCAGCUCAUUAAGACGUCAAUACACAGAUAAAAAAUUAAAUCAACCCAAUAACCAGUCUGUGGUCAGAGUACAAUCCUGUAGUAAUAACCUUGUAGUACCUCCACCGAGCUCUAGCCAGAAGAUACAGAGAUGCUCAGAGUUGCCCUCUGUUAAGUCUCAGGACACAAUUUCAGGGGACUGCCAUAACAGGGUUCAAAAAUCACCAUUAUCUCACUCCAAACAUCAGGCCACACCUUCACUACACCUCCAGCGGAGAACUCCCUUGUGGCCUAAUAAGAAAGCCCUGAGCUCGCCUUUGUCCCACCCUAAACCUCAGAACACAUCUUCAUUUGACCUCAUUAAGACAUUGUCACCAGAACCCAGUCAAACAGACUGGAGUUCACAGUUAUCCUUUCCUAAACCUCAGAAUACAUCUUCCCUAGAUCUUUUCUGGACAUCACCUUCACUGAAGUCUAUUCGAAGAGUGUCAAGUUCAUCACUAUAUGCUGUAAAACAUCAAGAAACUCCUUCCCCAGACUACCUAUGGACAUCAUCAUCUUUGGAACCUAAUCAAAGAGCCUUUAGCUCAGCAUUACCCCAGUCCAAGCCUCAGAAAGCCUCUUCAUUGGACAGCCUAUGGUCAUCUUUGUUAGAGCACAAUCAAAGAUGUUUGAGCUCACCAUCACUCAGCUCUACAUCUCAAAUAAAUGACUUGUUUCAGACAUCACCUGAAGCCCAUCAUUUGGAGCCUAGUCAAAUGACUCUGAGCUCAUCAUUACCUGACGCCAGACUUCAGACAUCACCUGUAUUGAGGUCCAAUUCCAGCGUUCUGAGAUUACCAUUGUCCAAUUCAAAACCAAGAAAGUCACCUUUACCAUACUCUGUCCACCAGUCAAAGAGUUUGCCAUUGUUCCAGCCCAAAAUACUUGAUCAUGACUUCAGGACCCCAAGCUCAGCAAUGUUUCACUCCAGAUUGCAGAACACCACUUCACGAAGUGACAAACACAAAGCCACAGAUCUUUCCUCACCUCAUCCCAAACCAAAUGUCUCAGGUCAAUCAAUAUUAAGCUCCAGGCACUCCAUGAGGAACAUAGCUGCUUUAACACUGGGCUCCAGACUCCAGCGUAAAAGCAGUGUUGGUCAUUAUGAAGAGACAAGACCCAGUAAAGAAAUUCCGUGGACUUUAGAUUACACUCAACCCUGCAUUGUUAAAGGUGGAACUGUCCCUGAUGAUGUUGUAAAUAAAAUUGUCAAUUCUCUCUCCAAGACCAGAAUCCAGAGGGAUCUCUGUAGGCAGAUUCUCUUUCGAAGGAUGAGGGGAAGACCAAAUCCUCGUCCUGGUCCCCGCCUUUCAUCGAGUUAUAUGGUUUGUUUAUCCUGUGCCUCCUGCAUAAAAUCUCACUGUGGCCAUCUUACAGGAAGGAAAGACCCCCAUGCUGCCACACUAUUUGUCAUCCCAACACCUGAACUCACUCCUGAGAAAGAGAUAAUGGUGAAACUAGUUUUUAUCCUUUCUCUACCAGAGACUACUUUUUUACUUCCUGUGAAAGAAAAUCAGCCUGAUGAAGCCCCUGAAGACAAUCUUGAAGGAAUGGAGAAGAUAGCAAACAUUUUCCCUACGUCAGAAUCUGAUAUCACUCAGGGAGCUAAUGAGAAGAAGACCUGGCUGACAGUAGCCCCCAAAAACCAAGCUGUAAGCCAACAGCCCCAGGCUGUAGACUGGCUGCUCUAUGUGAAGAAAAACAGUAACCCUCAGUUCCAAGUGAAGUCACAUGAGAAAUAAGACUGCCUUGCUGAAGAAACCACACAAGGAAAUCAAGGGGAGAAACUUGGAGGAGAGGCUUUUGAGACUGUGUGAAACAGACAUCCCAACAUCCCAGUCCAAUCCAGCCUCCACAUGAUUCCAGGCCUACUCUUGCCAUUCAACUAUCAUUGCAGGAGAGACCCUAAGCCAGACCAGCAAAUGAAUUGCCCAGUUUGAUCUAAGGCAAUCCACAGACCUGUAAGAUACAGAAAAUGAUCCUUGUUUGAAGCCUCUAAGAUUUAAAAUAGAUUGUUAAAAUCCACUGGUGCUAUUUUAGUGAAAAAUGACUGAAAAGAAUUGCUACUUAGAAGUUACUCCUGUAAUAAAAACUAAUACAUG
This is a long non-coding RNA of Capra hircus (goat), 2763 nucleotides long. NCBI's taxonomy places the organism in Eukaryota, Metazoa, Chordata, Mammalia, Artiodactyla, Bovidae. The record is from Ensembl.